CAAUAGCGUAUAUUAAAGUUGUUGCAGUUAAAAAGCUCGUAGUUGGAUUUCUGGUGGGAGCGAUCGGUCUGGCGCUUAGCGCGAGUACUUGCAUCGUCUCCGGCCAUCCUUGGGGAGAGUCUGUCUGGCAUUAAGUUGUCGGGCAGAGGAUCCUCAUCGUUUACUGUGAAAAAAUUGGAGUGUUCAAAGCAGGCUUAUGCCGUUGAAUAUAUUAGCCUGGAAUAAUAAGAUAGGACUUUGGUACUAUUUUGUUGGUUUGCGCACCAAAGUAAUGAUUAAUAGGGACAGUUGGGGGUAUUCGUAUUCCGUUGUCAGAGGUGAAAUUCUUGGAUUUACGGAAGACGAACUACUGCGAAAGCAUUUACCAAGGAUGUUUUCAUUAA
This 383-nucleotide ribosomal RNA is filed under the name uncultured eukaryote. Its description in RNAcentral is "partial 18S ribosomal RNA". It matches the Rfam family "Eukaryotic small subunit ribosomal RNA", at positions 592 to 976 of the family's 1831-position model. The record is from RNAcentral.